GCGAGUCGAGAGACUUCGGGUCUCGGCAGACGUCUCAGUAACACGCGGAUAAUCUGCCCUUGAGUGGGGGAUAAGCUCGGAAACCUGAGUAUAAUACCCCAUAGGCCUAGGAUGCUGGAAUGCUUCUAGGCUGAAAGCUCCGGCGCUCAAGGAUGAGUCUGUGGCCUAUCAGGCUGUAGUGGGUGUAACGGACCCACUAACCUUCGACGGGUACGGGCCUUGAGAGAGGUUGCCCGGAGUUGGACUCUGAGACAUGAGUCCAGGCCCUACGGGGUGCAGCAGGCGCGAAAACUUCACAAUGUGGGAAACCACGAUGAGGGGAUUCCAAGUGCCAACACAAUGUGUUGGCUGUUCAUCUGCCUAAAAAGCUGGUGAAGUAAGGGCCGGGUAAGACGGGUGCCAGCCGCCGCGGUAAUACCCGCGGCCCGAGUGGUGGCCGUUGUUAUUGAGCCUAAAGCGUCCGUAGCCGGUUUCGUAAAUUUCUGGGUAAAUCGGGCAGCUUAACUGUCCGAAUUCCGGAAAGACUGCGAAACUUGGGACCGGGGGAGGUUGGAGGUACUCCUGGGGUAGGGGUGAAAUCCUGUAAUCCUGGGGGGACCACCAGUGGCGAAGGCGUCCAACCAAAACGGCUCCGACGGUAAGGGACGAAGCCCUGGGGCGCAAACGGGAUUAGAUACCCCGGUAGUCCAGGGUGUAAACGCUGCAGGCUUGGUGUUGGGGGUCCUACGAGGGCGCCCAGUGCCG
RNAcentral lists this ribosomal RNA (744 nucleotides) under uncultured archaeon. Its description in RNAcentral is "bacterial SSU rRNA". It matches the Rfam family "Archaeal small subunit ribosomal RNA", at positions 53 to 803 of the family's 1478-position model. The record is from RNAcentral.